GACCUUACUGACCGACCCUGGCCAGAUCCUGAUGAGGAGCUAUACACAGACGGGAGCAGUUACGUGGAUGAAGGAACUAGUUCCAUUCCAGAUACAGCCUGGAGACCUCGUCUGGGUA
Propithecus coquereli (Coquerel's sifaka) is the source of this 118-nucleotide long non-coding RNA. RefSeq lists it as uncharacterized. NCBI's taxonomy places the organism in Eukaryota, Metazoa, Chordata, Mammalia, Primates, Indriidae. The transcript has 2 exons. The record is from RefSeq and is a predicted model, not a curated record.